AUGUGCAGCAGCAAAGGCCAAGACCAAAUCUUGACCACACACCCAGGGAGACACCGCCGCUGCUGGAGACUGGCCGCCGCCGCCGCCGACACACUCCACCUACACAACAGCGAAGCCCACAACCCAUUUUUUUUCCAAAACAGUGCCUUCAAGAAGGUUAUGGCGCCAUGGGCGUCGCCGCUGCCCAACAAUGAAGGUGAACGGCGUCCGCAGGCGCAGCCGGCAUGGCUGGCUACCGGUUUCCCCCUGUCCUGCAUCCCCGUCACCCACUCCCACCCAAAGAAGACCGGAGCCCCAUGUCGAAGCAGGCCGGAUCUGAGGAGGGGGGAGCUCGCUGGAAAAGAAGGGCAGUGGAGGUGGCUAGAUCUGGCGCUGCUAGAGCCGAAACCGCUGCCACGCGCAGGCCUGCAUCCACCAGGGAUCUCGUCGCCCGCACGUCCGAGAAACCCUGACCCGUGCCCACGCCGGCGGGUGCCGAAGAGCCAGCGUCGCCACACCUUCUUGGGUCGCCGCCCCGGAUCCAGAGGCCCCCCGCGGGCGAGGCGAGGCGGCGAGGGCCCCGGUUCCUCCCUGGCCGCCUCACCCCCGUCGACGGCGCCGUGCGCCGCCACCACGCGCGGUCGCCUCUCGCCUCCUCCGACGCUCCAGCCCCAUAAGUCCCCCUCGAUCUCCUCCUCCCUGCGCGCGCCACCACUAGCUAGGCUCCAAUCGAUUCGCCGCGGCGGCUCGCCAUGUUUUGGGAUUUCGCGUGGGGGAAAGGGAUUUAGGUUGAAGAGAGUGUAUGUAUGUGCUGAUGCUCAAAUUGCCAAGUUGUUAUGCAAGGCGCCAAGCUUGCGCGGCAGCAGCUGCCUCAGGCGGCGGCGAGGGGAGGUCGAGGAGGGGAGGGAGACGGAAGGGCUAGGGAUUUCGCCCCUCGGGUCGCCCAAGCAGGGCGACACGAGGGCAAAGUCUAGACGAUCAGACCUGAGUAGCAUUGUUUUGAACAGCAGUAUCACUUAUCGAAGGUGCAUGAUGUCAUUGCUUGCCUCUGGGUCAGGCAGUCUGUUUAGUGGUUGCAUGGCUCGCAUCGGGGCUUACAAAAUACCUUACAUUACAAGAGACCUCCUCAACAAUGGCGCUAGGGCACAAGAGACCCAGGGCAGCCACGGUUUCUUGCAGCAUGGAUGGAAGCCCUGCCCUCCACUCCUCUCCCCUGCGUCGACCCCAUCCUCCUCUCCCCCGCAACGCCGGCGGCCGCCGGCCUCCGCCCUCACCCCCACAGCCGCCACAACCGGCGACUUUGCCUCUCACCGCCGCCCCCUCUCAUCCCCUCCUCUCGUGGCAGAUCGAGCGACAACCGCGGUGUGGGCGGGCGGCACUAACGCGCUGCUCUCGGCCGAGGAGCCGCUCCCGCCGGGCCAACCGCACCCGUCCGUCGCCUGCUCGCCUCCCGCGGCGUCUUCUCCGAGCACACAAACGACGGAGGUCGGAGGCGGUACGCGCUUGUGCUGGCGUGGCCGUGGCUCCACAAGGACGUGCUCGACCCCGCCGGCGCCUAGCCCUUUUUGCGCGCACGCCGGCGUCCCCGCCUACGCCUACUACGGCCAGGACCGGGAGGCGAACGAGGUGAUGCUCGACCUUGAACAUCUGCUCGAGGACAUCCUACUCGACGAUGCUCCUCUUCGCCAGCAUCUCCAACGCGUGGUGAGCUUCCGCUGUCUCAUCCCUUUACUCCUGGUUGCAGGAUUUGGUUCAGAUUUGGAGUACUGCUUGGGUACAGAUUAG
This 1764-nucleotide ribosomal RNA is filed under the name Triticum aestivum (bread wheat). Its description in RNAcentral is "partial small subunit ribosomal RNA". The record is from RNAcentral. Lineage: Eukaryota; Viridiplantae; Streptophyta; Magnoliopsida; Poales; Poaceae.